UAUUACUCGAUGGUGCAUUAUUCUAGUCGUACUAUUUAUUGUGAGGGUGGGGCUAAAAAUCCACUAAAGGGCACAUCGUUGAAGUUUCUUGUUGAUGCGCGAAAUGCCAGUUUUGUGUGUGAGCAGGGAGUAAAGAGGUUAGGGUAUUAUGUAACGGCAUAUAUAAGACUCCCUAGUUUCGCGGAGGCUUAUAAAUAAAUUUAAUGUAAUCUUUUAGAUUUAUUUUAAGUAUAACCUAUGUUGAGUGCCAAGACACAAAAUACAUAGUGUAGCCUGUCUCGAGUGAUAAUAUUGGGAUUAACUUUGUGGGAAUUAAUGGUUUGGCCAAAUUGUUAAUUUUUUAGUUAUGAAACUAUUAUUGCAAAAAAGACUAACAAUAAUUUAAGUAUGCCAAGGAAAACUUCUAGAAUGUUUGCUUUAUCAAAAAGCAUGGAAGUCUAUGGAUUAAGGUACGGAUUUAAGUGGUGAUCUAGUUUCUGCAUACUGCUUAUAAACAUUUAGUAGUAUAAGAUAUUUUCUUUAAACGGAAACGGCUAAAUAGUAAUGUUUAGUAGAAAAUAGAGAAAUUCUUCUAGACCUAAACCGUAAAAUUUACUUAGGCUUUUACCAUCUAACUUUUUAU
This 622-nucleotide small RNA is filed under the name human gut metagenome. The record is from RNAcentral.